This 925-nucleotide long non-coding RNA is filed under the name Anas zonorhyncha (Eastern spot-billed duck). Its description in RNAcentral is "lncRNA (ENSAZOG00000010908.1)". Lineage: Eukaryota; Metazoa; Chordata; Aves; Anseriformes; Anatidae. The record is from RNAcentral.
AUGAUAAUUGCACGUAUAUCGCACUUCAAGCCGAAAUAUCAUAUAUUAUUUACAGUCUGGGGAAGAAAUAUGAGACUACAGAUAAGAGGGAGAGGAGAGAUUAAUUUCAUCUCUUUGGUAAACACCCGCAGCAGCUGGGUGAGGCGUAAACAGGGGCCGUACCUGGCCAGAAGCAGCGCCUGCCGCGCGGACAGACGAGGGGUGGAGACGGCAGCUGGGAUCUGCAGCAGAGAAUCUGCACCUAGAUGUGCACCUGCCUGCGUGGCUCUUCCUUCCCUGCGUGCUGCCGAUGGGAUGGCAACGGCCACGCUCUUGGAACACGAAGGUGUGUGAAGAAACAAAGCUGGAGUAAGGGCAUGAAAAGGCAUCCUGGGGGAAAUAGGUCAGUCCUUUAUUUACCGUAGUGCUUUAGCUCUGAUUAUGCAAGGAGCUUAAUGCUGCUUCAGGUAGAGUAGGGCCUUGUAUUUCUAUGCAACACCUGCAGCGGCGGCGUGCUCUGCCAUUCCUCUGCCCGCGUUCCCAUUGAAUAAUAAGAACCAGGUUUUGGAAAGUACGCCAAACAUCUGGUAAAAUCAGGGCUCUACAAGUUUAUUCGAAAAUAUUCGUGAGCGUCACAGAUUUGCCAGGUGGUGAGCACUGUUGAAAAUCUGUCCCUAAUUUACUAUGUAAAUUAGGCCAUUAGGUUAAAUUGAUCUGCUUGUAAGUUAGCGUGCUACCCAGUAUGAGCUACGGGGGUAGAAGCUGUCCUGGUAAGACAUACACAUUUGACUAAAUUGUAUUUACAUUCCCUGCUCUCUUUAUGUGGUGGUCAUCCCCCUGUGAGUCAUCCCAAUACGCUCCAGGUUAUGUGGGAAUCUCGUCGUGGCAAAAUGUUGAUUUAAUGAGCUUGGAACAAGAGACACACAACAUCAAAAGCUGGGACACC